CUGGACCCUGUUCCUCCGGCAACGGCAUCAAUCUUACCACCAACCUUGGCUCUUUGAGGGGCUUGGUAUAUUAAUAUCACUGGCAUCAGUGGGAAUAUGUGGGAGAAAUGGAAGCAGUACUGGUAGAGAAAGAAGGAGAAGUGGCAGGAUUGAGGUGCAUGGCAGGCAUUCAUGGUGUCUUUCAUGUAGUUUAUAAAGUAGUUUAUAAAGUAGCAGAAAGAUAAAGAAAUGACAGUUACAACAUGGUAACAUAAAAAUUAGUAAAAUGUGACAUAAAUUAGAUAUUAAUUUUGGUUUGGCAUAGCAGAAUGCUCUGUCUGCAUAAUUUUAUUAGAUCUUCAUUACAAUACCACACCCUCAGAUGAGGACAAAUAAAGCCCCAACCUCUGGCCUUACAUCUUAAGGUGUGUUUUCUCAAAAUUUUCUGGGUUCCACUUUGGUGGUGGGAAUGGCUGGAGCCAGCAGUACCACGUGGCCGGGGAGCCCUGAGCUGGUCCUGUGCCCAUAUGGACUCCGCUUUCUAUUUCACCCCUUCAUGGUUCUUUCUUACCCUCUUCCUUGCAUGUCGGGCCCACUCGAUGCCCCAAAGAACUCCAGGACUUCUGCUCACAAAUGAAGUUGUCCUGAGGUCCUGUGGCUGAACCCUGGAUCCAGAAAGACAGCCUUGGAAACAAAUUACUACUCCUGUAGCCAGUACCUUACAAUUACGUAUUUUUGAAUGAUUUUAUCGGAUUUGAUUGCCAAAGAAUCUUGCAAAAACAAUUUUUUCCCCAAGCUACACACCUUAUGGUUGGUUGUGUUAUUUAUGUUCCCAUUUUAGAUGAGAGGACCAAUAUCCUAGAUUAAAAAUGUCAAAUCCAAGAUUACACAAACAGUGAAAAUUGAAUCCCAGGUUUUUCAAAAGACACUCUGAUUUUAGAUCUUAAGCCUAUUAUUCUAUCCAAAGGCUCAGAGAAGACAUGCUCUGAACAUACUCAAAGUAACUGACACUGGAAAAGGUAACAGAGGUGUGAAAAUCUUACCAUAGUAGAUGUGUGAGUGGGCUGGGGGCAGGUGAAUUCCAGAGAAAUGUGGCACUAAAUGUCAUGAAGCUGACUCUGUAUUAUACCAGAGUGGCCUCCAGAUUGCUUUCACAACUGGGUAGUUCAUCAGCUAAUGUGAUUCUCCAAACUUUAAAUGAUUAGAAAACUGGGGAAAAAUGUAGAAAACCAGAGGAAAACACUCCUUCUAAUCCAAAUAUAAAUUCUUCACUUCUUUUCAAUGUUCUUCCAGGAGAAGGAUUCGUUGGGCUCUUUGCCUUCUGCUUUUAUUUCUGUGCAAGGGUUUAUGCAAGAGGUACUUGAGAAUGCUGUACUGUAGAGCUUUGUUUCUCAUGGGAACACACGGGGAAGUGGAAAACCC
RNAcentral lists this long non-coding RNA (1401 nucleotides) under Homo sapiens (human). RNAcentral's name for it is "HSALNT0095940". The record is from RNAcentral. Lineage: Eukaryota; Metazoa; Chordata; Mammalia; Primates; Hominidae.